GCCUGCUUAACUCAAUGGUAGAGUAUCACUCUUGUAAAGUGAAUGUUAUCGGUUCAAUUCCGAUAGUAGGCU
RNAcentral lists this transfer RNA (72 nucleotides) under Chloropicon roscoffensis. Its description in RNAcentral is "tRNA-Thr". It matches the Rfam family "tRNA". From Rfam's summary of the family: Transfer RNA (tRNA) molecules are approximately 80 nucleotides in length. The record is from RNAcentral. RNAcentral also lists the same sequence under 3 other names. Lineage: Eukaryota; Viridiplantae; Chlorophyta; Chloropicophyceae; Chloropicales; Chloropicaceae.